This 253-nucleotide ribosomal RNA is filed under the name uncultured bacterium. Its description in RNAcentral is "partial 16S ribosomal RNA". It matches the Rfam family "Bacterial small subunit ribosomal RNA", at positions 524 to 776 of the family's 1533-position model. The record is from RNAcentral.
UACGUAGGCAGCGAGCGUUGUUCGGAGUUACUGGGCGUAAAGAGUGCGUAGGCGGUUUUCUAAGUUUGGUGUGAAAUCUCCCGGCUUAACUGGGAGGGUGCGCCGAAGACUGGAAGGCUUGAGUAUGGGAGAGGUAAGCGGAAUUCCUGGUGUGGCGGUGAAAUGCGUAGAUAUCAGGAGGAACACCUGCGGUGUAGACGGCUUACUGGACCAUAACUGACGCUGAGGCACGAAAGCGUGGGUAGCAAACAGG